UGCGCCUAGGCCGGCGCGGCGGAACAUGCCCGUGGAGGGGUAAAGGGGAACCUUGCAUCUCGCUCCCGAGCGGCGGACGGGUGAGUACUGUAUGGGGAUCUGCCCGAUACAGGGGGAUAACUACUGGAAACGGUAGCUAAUACCGCAUAAUCUCUUAGGAGCAAAGCAGGGGAACUUCGGUCCUUGCGCUAUCGGAUGAACCCAUAUGGGAUUAGCUAGUAGGUGAGGUAAUGGCUCACCUAGGCGACGAUCCCUAGCUGGUCUGAGAGGAUGAUCAGCCACACUGGGACUGAGACACGGCCCAGACUCCUACGGGAGGCAGCAGUGGGGAAUAUUGCACAAUGGGCGCAAGCCUGAUGCAGCCAUGCCGCGUGUAUGAAGAAGGCCCUAGGGUUGUAAAGUACUUUCAGUCGGGAGGAAGGCGUUGAUGCUAAUAUCAUCAACGAUUGACGUUACCGACAGAAGAAGCACCGGCUAACUCCGUGCCAGCAGCCGCGGUAAUACGGAGGGUGCAAGCGUUAAUCGGAAUUACUGGGCGUAAAGCGCACGCAGGCGGUUGAUUAAGUUAGAUGUGAAAUCCCCGGGCUUAACCUGGGAAUGGCAUCUAAGACUGGUCAGCUAGAGUCUUGUAGAGGGGGGUAGAAUUCCAUGUGUAGCGGUGAAAUGCGUAGAGAUGUGGAGGAAUACCGGUGGCGAAGGCGGCCCCCUGGACAAAGACUGACGCUCAGGUGCGAAAGCGUGGGGAGCAAACAGGGAUUAGAUACCCUGGUAGUCCACGCUGUAAACGAUGUCGAUUUGAAGGUUGUUCUCUUGAGGAGUGGCUUUCGGAGCUAACGCGUUAAAUCGACCGCCCUGGGGAGUACGGCCGCAAGGUUAAAAACUCAAAUGAAAUUGACCGGGGGCCCGCACAAGCGGUGGGAGGCAUGUGGUUUCAAUUCCGAAUGCAACGCGAAGAACCUUACCUACUUCUUGACAAUCCAUAGAAUUUAAUCAGAGAAUGCUUUUAGUGCCUUUCUGGGAACUCCUGAGAACAGGUGCUGCCAUGGGCUGGUUCGUCAACCUCCGUGUUGUGCAAAAGUUUUGGGUUAAGAUCCCGCGAACGAGACGGCAGUCUUCUCCUAUCUUUUGGAUGCGCAGGUCGGGAUCUCGGGAUGCG
Molecule: ribosomal RNA, 1156 nt
Filed under: Providencia sp. KRD12
Lineage: Bacteria; Pseudomonadati; Pseudomonadota; Gammaproteobacteria; Enterobacterales; Morganellaceae
Description: bacterial SSU rRNA
Rfam family: Bacterial small subunit ribosomal RNA
Source: RNAcentral